AGUGAACGCUGGCGGUAGGCCUAACACAUGCAAGUCGAACGGCAGCACAGUAAGAGCUUGCUCUUACGGGUGGCGAGUGGCGGACGGGUGAGGAAUACAUCGGAAUCUACUUUUUCGUGGGGGAUAACGUAGGGAAACUUACGCUAAUACCGCAUACGACCUACGGGUGAAAGCAGGGGAUCUUCGGACCUUGCGCGAUUGAAUGAGCCGAUGUCGGAUUAGCUAGUUGGCGGGGUAAAGGCCCACCAAGGCGACGAUCCGUAGCUGGUCUGAGAGGAUGAUCAGCCACACUGGAACAGAGACACGGUCCAGACUCCUACGGGAGGCAGCAGUGGGGAAUAUUGGACAAUGGGCGCAAGCCUGAUCCAGCCAUACCGCGUGGGUGCAGAAGGCCUUCGGGUUGUAAAGCCCUUUUGUUGGGAAAGAAAAGCAGCAGGUUAAUACCCCGCUGUUCUGACGGUACCCAAAGAAUAAGCACCGGCUAACUUCGUG
This 492-nucleotide ribosomal RNA is filed under the name uncultured bacterium. RNAcentral describes it as "partial 16S ribosomal RNA". It matches the Rfam family "Bacterial small subunit ribosomal RNA", at positions 29 to 507 of the family's 1533-position model. The record is from RNAcentral.